GAUGAACGCUGGCGGCGUGCUUAACACAUGCAAGUCGAACGAUGAAGCUCAGCUUGCUGGGUGGUUUAGUGGCGAACGGGUGAGUAACACGUGAGUAACCUGCCCUUAACUCUGGGAUAAGCCUGGGAAACUAGGUCUAAUACCGGAUAGGAGCGCCUACCGCAUGGUGGGUGUUGGAAAGAUUUAUCGGUUUUGGAUGGACUCGCGGCCUAUCAGCUUGUUGGUGAGGUAAUGGCUCACCAAGGCGACGACGGGUAGCCGGCCUGAGAGGGUGACCGGCCACACUGGGACUGAGACACGGCCCAGACUCCUACGGGAGGCAGCAGUGGGGAAUAUUGCACAAUGGGCGAAAGCCUGAUGCAGCGACGCCGCGUGAGGGAUGACGGCCUUCGGGUUGUAAACCUCUUUCAGUAGGGAAGAAGCGAAAGUGACGGUACCUGCAGAAGAAGCACCGGCUAACUACGUG
RNAcentral lists this ribosomal RNA (466 nucleotides) under uncultured bacterium. Its description in RNAcentral is "partial 16S ribosomal RNA". It matches the Rfam family "Bacterial small subunit ribosomal RNA", at positions 28 to 507 of the family's 1533-position model. The record is from RNAcentral.